CAAAACUCUAAGGACUUGACGGUGCCCCACACCGACCUAGAGGAGCCUGUCCUAUAAUCGAUACUCCGCGCUAAACCUCUCCCCCCCUAGCACCAAAUCAGCCUAUAUACCGCCGUCGCCAGCCUGCCUAGUGAUAGCCUUCCACAGCAGGCAGAACAGCCACCCCUCUAACACGUCAGGUCAAGGUGUAGCUCACGGGGGGGCCAGAGAUGGGCUACAUUUUCUAGCCCCCUAGAAAACACUACAGGCAACAUGAAAUCUAAGCCACCCGGCGGAUUUAGCAGUAAACUGGGCAAGAGACGCCCAAUUGAAACAUGCCCUGGGGCGCGUACACACCGCCCGUCACCCUCCUCAACAAACCCUGCCCCCC
RNAcentral lists this ribosomal RNA (370 nucleotides) under Phyllodactylus simpsoni (Simpson's leaf-toed gecko). RNAcentral describes it as "partial small subunit ribosomal RNA". Lineage: Eukaryota; Metazoa; Chordata; Lepidosauria; Squamata; Phyllodactylidae. The record is from RNAcentral.